CUGGCUCAGGAUGAACGCCGGCGGUGUGCCUAAUACAUGCAAGUCGAACGCGUUGGCCCAAUUGAUUGAYGGUGCUUGCACCUGAUUGAUUUUGGUCGCCAACGAGUGGCGGACGGGUGAGUAACACGUAGGUAACCUGCCCAGAAGCGGGGGACAACAUUUGGAAACAGAUGCUAAUACCGCAUAACARCGUUGUUCGCAUGAACAACGCUUAAAAGAUGGCUUCUCGCUAUCRCUUCUGGAUGGACCUGCGGUGCAUUAGCUUGUUGGUGGGGUAAYGGCCUACCAAGGCGAUGAUGCAUAGCCGAGUUGAGAGACUGAUCGGCCACAAUGGGACUGAGACACGGCCCAUACUCCUACGGGAGGCAGCAGUAGGGAAUCUUCCACAAUGGGCGCAAGCCUGAUGGAGCAACACCGCGUGAGUGAAGAAGGGUUUCGGCUCGUAAAGCUCUGUUGUUAAAGAAGAACACGUAUGAGAGUAACUGUUCAUACGUUGACGGUAUUUAACCAGAAAGUCACGGCUAACUACGUGCCAGCAGCCGCGGUAAUACGUAGGUGGCAAGCGUUAUCCGGAUUUAUUGGGCGUAAAGAGAGUGCAGGCGGUUUUCUAAGUCUGAUGUGAAAGCCUUCGGCUUAACCGGAGAAGUGCAUCGGAAACUGGAUAACUUGAGUGCAGAAGAGGGUAGUGGAACUCCAUGUGUAGCGGUGGAAUGCGUAGAUAUAUGGAAGAACACCAGUGGCGAAGGCGGCUACCUGGUCUGCAACUGACGCUGAGACUCGAAAGCAUGGGUAGCGAACAGGAUUAGAUACCCUGGUAGUCCAUGCCGUAAACGAUGAGUGCUAGGUGUUGGAGGGUUUCCGCCCUUCAGUGCCGGAGCUAACGCAUUAAGCACUCCGCCUGGGGAGUACGACCGCAAGGUUGAAACUCAAAGGAAUUGACGGGGGCCCGCACAAGCGGUGGAGCAUGUGGUUUAAUUCGAAGCUACGCGAAGAACCUUACCAGGUCUUGACAUCUUGCGCCAACCCUAGAGAUAGGGCGUUUCCUUCGGGAACGCAAUGACAGGUGGUGCAUGGUCGUCGUCAGCUCGUGUCGUGAGAUGUUGGGUUAAGUCCCGCAACGAGCGCAACCCUUGUUACUAGUUGCCAGCAUUAAGUUGGGCACUCUAGUGAGACUGCCGGUGACAAACCGGAGGAAGGUGGGGACGACGUCAGUAUCAUCAUGCCCCUUAUGACCUGGGCUACACACGUGCUACAAUGGACGGUACAACGAGUCGCGAACUCGCGAGGGCAAGCAAAUCUCUUAAAACCGUUCUCAGUUCGGACUGCAGGCUGCAACUCGCCUGCACGAAGUCGGAAUCGCUAGUAAUCGCGGAUCAGCAUGCCGCGGUGAAUACGUUCCCGGGCCUUGUACACACCGCCCGUCACACCAUGAGAGUUUGUAACACCCAAAGUCGGUGGGGUAACCUUUUAGGAGCCAGCCGCCUAAGGUGGGACAGAUGAUUAGGGUGAAGUCGU
RNAcentral lists this ribosomal RNA (1515 nucleotides) under Limosilactobacillus fermentum. RNAcentral describes it as "bacterial SSU rRNA". It matches the Rfam family "Bacterial small subunit ribosomal RNA". The record is from RNAcentral. Lineage: Bacteria; Bacillati; Bacillota; Bacilli; Lactobacillales; Lactobacillaceae.